Molecule: non-coding RNA, 1130 nt
Organism: Podarcis lilfordi (Lilford's wall lizard)
Lineage: Eukaryota; Metazoa; Chordata; Lepidosauria; Squamata; Lacertidae
Source: the annotation of a GenBank genome assembly
AAUGGUCAGGGGUCCCUUUACCUUUUACAUCUUAUCGACAUAGAUCAAGAGUCUUGACUUAAAUAAUGUAUAUAUUUUUUAAUCAUUAGGACAGGGAAGCCCCCUCCAGAUGGCGCUCCGACACCCAUCAGGCACAGCCAGAAAGGUUAGGGAUGCUGAGAGUUGGAGUCCAACGGUGUGGCAAGACAACCAGCAUGGAAACAUCCUGCUUUUGCAAAGAUCAUUUUAUUCAGCUUAAGAAAUAAAGCAGAAAAAGAGGCAGAAAGGUAUUCAAAACAAAGCAUAUUUGUAUUCAAAGGAAAGCUAGAGAUGAAGAGAAAGAGAAAGCGAACAAUACUAUUUUAUAAAAUAAAACAAAAAUCAGCAAAAAGGGAUUAAAAAGAGCUACACACAGGCAGUCGGUUUGUUUGUUAGGGCUGUUCAGUAACAUCUCCCCUUUCUUGCUAGUAGCGUCCAAUUUUUCAGGGGAAAUUCAUGGCCUUAAAUAAACCCUAGAAUGCAACACAGGAACCUGUGGCCCUCCAAACAUGGUCUACAACUCCCAUUAUUCGUGACCAUUUUCCAUGCAGGCUGGGGAUGGGAGCUGAGAGUUCAAAAACAUACUGAAGGCUGCAAGCUCCCUGUGUCUUGCGUACACCAGUGAAGAUUCUGGUGGUGCAGAUACAGAUCAGGGCUGGGGAUCCUGUGGCCCUCCAGAGGUUGUGGGACUACAAAUCCCAACACCCUCCAACCCAUGGUGGCUGCAGGCCUAAUGGGAGUUGGAGUCGAACAAUCCUCUGGAGGGUCACAAUUUCACCUCCUAUAAUUGCUGGCGGGAAUGAAAUGUGUGAUUCUUCCUUCUGUGGUUAUUUUUUUUUAGGUAACCACACAACUUUCAGACCGCAGAUUCCUGUAUUUGGGAUCUAGUAAAGGGUCCCCGUCAGAUGCCACACUCCAAAGAGGCCUUUCCCGAAUACCGGCAUAGAUUCUCCACAGUUAUGUGUUUAUCUGAAAUAAGUGACAGAAACAUCACACGCAGAGGGACAUUACUUAUUUGAAAAGGCACCUGUGCUUUUCUCCCUCUUUAUAAUCUUUUUCCAGUAUCUGAAGCACAUGGGUGCCAGACUUCUAAAUCCACUCUUCUCCCUGGC